UCUCAGGCCCAACAAGUGUUUUGUCAGU
This 28-nucleotide non-coding RNA is filed under the name Homo sapiens (human). Lineage: Eukaryota; Metazoa; Chordata; Mammalia; Primates; Hominidae. The record is from RNAcentral.